ACUGAAGCCCCAGUGAACGGCGGCCGUAACUAUAACGGUCCUAAGGUAGCGAAAUUCCUUGUCGGGUAAGUUCCGACCCGCAUGAAAGGCGUAAUGAUUUGGGCGCUGUCUCAACGAGGGGCCCGGUGAAAUUGAAAUACCUGUGAAGAUGCAGGUUACCCGCGACUGGACAGAAAGACCCCAUGGAGCUUUACUGCAGCUUGAGAUUGAAUCCCGGUGGCAGACGCACAGGAUAGGUGGGAGGCUUUGAGAUAGUGACUUUGGUUGCUAUGGAGCCGACGUUGGGAUACCACCCUUCUGUUGCUGGGAUUCUAACGCGAAGAUUAACAACCUUGCGGACCAUCUCAGGUAGGCGGUUUGACUGGGGCGGUCGCCUCCGAAAGAGUAACGGAGGCGCCCAAAGGUUCCCUCAGGCCGGACAGAAACCGGCCGAAGAGUGCAAAGGCAGAAGGGAGCUUGACUGCGAGACAGACAAGUCGAGCAGAGACGAAAGUCGGGCUUAGUGAUCCGGUGGUACUGCGUGGAAAGGCCAUCGCUCAACGGAUAAAAGCUACCCUGGGGAUAACAGGCUAAUCUCUCCCAAGAGUUCAUAUCGACGGGGAGGUUUGGCACCUCGAUGUCGGCUCAUCACAUCCUGGAGCUGGAGUAGGUUCCAAGGGUUGGGCUGUUCGCCCAUUAAAGUGGUACGCGAGCUGGGUUCAAAACGUCGUGAGACAGUUUGGUUCAUAUCCAUCGCGGGCGCAAGAAGUUUGAGGGAGGCUGCUCCUAGUACGAGAGGACCGGAGUGGACGGAUCAACGGUGUACCAGUUGUCACGCCAGUGGCACGGCUGGAAAGCCGCAUCCGGAAAGGAUAAACGCUGAAAGCAUCUAAGCGUGAAGCCCGUCCCAAGAUGAGACUUCUCAUCAGCAAUGAGUAAGACCCCUUAAAGACGAUGAGGUUGAUAGGCUGUGAGUGGAAGAGCCGCGAGGCUUGGAGCGACGCAGUACUAAUAGGUCGAGGUCUUAACUUA
RNAcentral lists this ribosomal RNA (1011 nucleotides) under human gut metagenome. Its description in RNAcentral is "bacterial LSU rRNA". It matches the Rfam family "Bacterial large subunit ribosomal RNA", at positions 1911 to 2925 of the family's 2925-position model. The record is from RNAcentral.